AUGCAGAGGGAUGAAGCAAUAGAAGGUGGUUUGAGAAUUAUUGAAGGUGAUGUUGUGAAGUGGUCAUUGAGAAGUUGCGGAAGAUUGGUGCAAGAGGAAACCGUGGAUUGGAGGUCGGAGUUGAUAAAGGCCAACCGUUAUGUUAAGACAGGAGCUAGUUUUCGUAGCCGCCUGGUUUCAUCUUAUGUUUGUCGGAUGCCUAGCGAACUGAUUCUGCUUAUCAAUUUAUGCAGGAAUGGAUUUCAUGGGACAGAGGUGCAUACUGACUUGGUGUUUUUCCGGUCUUAUUUCCUUGGUGACACAGGCUAUGAAGAGUUGAAGAACGACAGAGGGCUUAAAGAAUUAACUUGGAUAAGAAGCAUAGUAUCAGGUUAA
RNAcentral lists this long non-coding RNA (375 nucleotides) under Vicia faba (fava bean). Lineage: Eukaryota; Viridiplantae; Streptophyta; Magnoliopsida; Fabales; Fabaceae. The record is from RNAcentral.